RNAcentral lists this transfer RNA (64 nucleotides) under Stenopus scutellatus. RNAcentral's name for it is "tRNA-Tyr". Lineage: Eukaryota; Metazoa; Arthropoda; Malacostraca; Decapoda; Stenopodidae. The record is from RNAcentral.
AAUAGGAUGGCCGAGGAUCAGGCGAUAGGCUGUAAAUCUAUUUACGGGGUAUUCCCUUCUAUUA